CCCCUUCCCCUCUUCCAAUCUCAGUGUUCCCUCCAUUUCCCGCCGCGUUCUCCGGGCCCAACCGCCACUUCCCCCUCGGCGACCACGGCCGCGGCGUCCGCCGCCGGGCGAUCCAGCGCUUCCCUCCCCGCACGGACCCGCCCUGGAUGGCCGGGAGAGCCUCUUCGGUGGAGCGCGUGAAGGAGCGUGCCACCGGCCUCGACAAGUUCGUCCUCAGCGAGGCCCACGGCAGCUCCGUCGAGGUAUACUUAUAUGGAGGCCAGGUAACCUCUUGGAAAAAUAACUCUGGAGAACAACAGCUAUUUGUCAGUAGGAAGGCUUCUUUCAAACCACCAAAAGCGAUUCGUGGGGGCAUACAAAUUUGUUUUCCCCAAUUAGGGAACCACGGAUUUCUUGAACAGCAUGGAUUCGCGAGGAACCGACUUUGGAGUGUUGAUGAGAGUCCUCUUCCAGAUACCACUUCUGAUUGCCAUAUUGACUUGAUACUCAAGCAGUCUGAAGAAGAUUUGAAGACCUGGCCACACAGUUAUGAACUUCGUUUGCAAGUUGCUCUUAGCCCGAGGGGAGAUCUGAUCCUCACAUCUCGAAUAAAAAAUAAGAAUGCCGAUGGCAAGCCAUUCCAAUUUACUUUUGCAUACCACACAUACUUCUCAGUCUCUGAUAUCAGCGAAGUACGGGUUGAGGGUUUGGAUACCUUGGACUAUCAUGAUAACCUGCAAUCUAAGAUUCGUUGCACUGAACAAGGCGACGCAGUUGUAUUCGAAUCUGAAGUGGACAGGAUAUAUCUAAGUGCCCCAUCCAAGAUUGUGACAAUUGACCAUGAGAAAAAAAGAACAUUCGUUUUGAGGAAAAGGGAACUUCCUGAUGUUGUCCCAAUCUGCCCACCAGAGUUCGACUCUGCAUGAGGCGGAAUGUAAUCUGCGCCGUGCAGUGACUGGUGUCAGUUGUUUGGAACCCAUGGGACAGGAAAGCAAAAGCGAUGCCGGAUUUUGGUGCCGAGGAGUACAAGUGCAUGCUGUGUGUAGGGGCUGCACGUAUUGAGAAGCCAAUUACUUUAAGGCCUGGUGAAGAGUGGCAAGGAAGGCAGGAAAUUUCCUCUGUGCCAUCCAGUUACAGCAGUGGACUGUUGGAUCCUGAAAUGAUUAAACAGAUGCAACGUAUGUAGAUCUUUUGGUGGUUGAAUGCUAUGAAGUCUCGUCAGUGUCAAUAAGAUGAUCUGAAUGUUCUUCAACCAACUUCCAGCUUUCCUUUUUUGUGUACAAAAUUCCAAAGUAGCCUGUGGUUUUUCUGGAGCAGCAUUGGAGUUGAAAUCUCCAUUUUCCUUUAAAGGAGAUGGAGAAUUUUUGUCUAUCUUUAGGGACUUUAUGUACAUUCAUAAUCAGUCGCUUUACAUUACGCCAAUUUUGUUUGCCCGGUUAUAGGAGGCUGAUUUGAAACUGCACAAAUAGUCUGGUAUCCUUUUUGAGUUGUCUCGUGUCAUAUUGCCGCACUUCACCUGUAUGGUGUGUAAUACUCCCUCCGUUUACUAUUAUUAGACGUUUUGAAUA
Molecule: RNA transcript, 1547 nt
Organism: Hordeum vulgare subsp. vulgare (domesticated barley)
Lineage: Eukaryota; Viridiplantae; Streptophyta; Magnoliopsida; Poales; Poaceae
Gene name: putative glucose-6-phosphate 1-epimerase
Exons: 10
Source: RefSeq, a predicted model, not a curated record